This 76-nucleotide transfer RNA is filed under the name Actinoplanes sp. NBRC 101535. RNAcentral's name for it is "tRNA-Pro". The record is from RNAcentral. Lineage: Bacteria; Bacillati; Actinomycetota; Actinomycetes; Micromonosporales; Micromonosporaceae.
GGGCCGAUCGAAGGGCCGCGCCCCGCCCGCUGGGAUCGGGCGGGGCGCGGCGCUCGGAUCACUUCAGGUCGGCCUC